UUGCAGAUGAUGAACACUUCAAUUUUAUAUGAGCUGAUUUAAACAAUGAGGCUUCAUAAUCGAGCUUUUUAAAACUGAUGCAAC
This is a small nucleolar RNA of Impatiens glandulifera, 84 nucleotides long. Lineage: Eukaryota; Viridiplantae; Streptophyta; Magnoliopsida; Ericales; Balsaminaceae. The record is from RefSeq and is a predicted model, not a curated record.